This 200-nucleotide ribosomal RNA is filed under the name uncultured bacterium. RNAcentral's name for it is "partial 16S ribosomal RNA". It matches the Rfam family "Bacterial small subunit ribosomal RNA", at positions 29 to 230 of the family's 1533-position model. The record is from RNAcentral.
AACGAACGCUGGCGGCAUGCCUAACACAUGCAAGUCGAGCGGUAGAGAGAAGCUUGCUUCUCUUGAGAGCGGCGGACGGGUGAGUAAUGCCUAGGAAUCUGCCUGGUAGUGGGGGAUAACGUCCGGAAACGGACGCUAAUACCGCAUACGUCCUACGGGAGAGAGCAGGGGACCUUCGGGCCUUGCGCUAUCAGAUGAGC